UACAUGUGGGGCAAGCGUUGUUCGGAAUUACUGGGCAUAAAGGGUGCGUAGGCGGUUUGUUAAGUCUGUGGUGAAAGCUUUCGGCCCAACCGGAAAAUUGCCGCGGAUACUGGCGAACUUGAGUGCGUGAGGGAUGGGGGGAACGAGCAGUGUAGCGGUGAAAUUCGUAGAUAUUAGGAAGAACACCGGUGGCGAAGGCGGCCCACUGGUCCGGUACUGACGCUGAGGUGCGAAAGCGUGGGGAGCAAACAGG
RNAcentral lists this ribosomal RNA (253 nucleotides) under uncultured bacterium. RNAcentral describes it as "partial 16S ribosomal RNA". It matches the Rfam family "Bacterial small subunit ribosomal RNA", at positions 524 to 776 of the family's 1533-position model. The record is from RNAcentral.